GUGAGGAAUAUUGCGCAAUGGGGGCAACCCUGACGCAGCAACGCCGCGUGAGUGAGGAAGGUUUUCGGACCGUAAAGCUCUGUCGAGCGGGAAGAAAUGCAUAGUGGCUAAUAUCCAUUAUGCUUGACGGUACCGCUAAAGGAAGCACCGGCUAACUCCGUGCCAGCAGCCGCGGUAAUACGGGGGGUGCUAGCGUUGUUCGGAAUCAUUGGGCGUAAAGAGCGUGUAGGCGGCUGGAUAAGUCAGAUGUGAAAGCCCUGGGCUUAACCCAGGAAGUGCAUUUGAAACUGUUCAGCUUGAGUAAGGGAGAGGAAAGUGGAAUUCCUGGUGUAGAGGUGAAAUUCGUAGAUAUCAGGAGGAACACCGGUGGCGAAGGCGACUUUCUGGCCCUAUACUGACGCUGAGACGCGAGAGCGUGGGUAGCAAACAGGAUUAGAAACCCUAGUAGUCC
RNAcentral lists this ribosomal RNA (451 nucleotides) under uncultured bacterium. RNAcentral describes it as "bacterial SSU rRNA". It matches the Rfam family "Bacterial small subunit ribosomal RNA", at positions 354 to 796 of the family's 1533-position model. The record is from RNAcentral.